This 253-nucleotide ribosomal RNA is filed under the name uncultured bacterium. Its description in RNAcentral is "partial 16S ribosomal RNA". It matches the Rfam family "Bacterial small subunit ribosomal RNA", at positions 524 to 776 of the family's 1533-position model. The record is from RNAcentral.
UACGUAGGGUGCAAGCGUUGUCCGGAAUUAUUGGGCGUAAAGAGCUCGUAGGCGGGUUGUCGCGUCUGCUGUGAAAACUCGGGGCUUAACCCCGGGCCUGCAGUGGGUACGGGCAGACUAGAGUGCGGUAGGGGAGACUGGAAUUCCUGGUGUAGCGGUGAAAUGCGCAGAUAUCAGGAGGAACACCGGUGGCGAAGGCGGGUCUCUGGGCCGUAACUGACGCUGAGGUGCGAAAGCGUGGGGAGCAAACAGG